GAGCGAGUGAAGUGUAGUGGUUAGAGAAUUAGGCUAUGAUUCUGGAGAUCAGGGUUCAAAUCCCAGCUCAGCCA
Phrynosoma platyrhinos (Desert horned lizard) is the source of this 74-nucleotide non-coding RNA. Lineage: Eukaryota; Metazoa; Chordata; Lepidosauria; Squamata; Phrynosomatidae. The record is from the annotation of a GenBank genome assembly.